AUGAUAAGUAGUUUGGGAUCCAGAAGAGACCGAAGCAGAAGUCCUCCAGAAGGGCCUCCAUCAAAAAUCUUUAUCCGAACUAAAGACAAAACUCCACUUUUGACACAACCAACUCAGCAGCUUGAGACAAAGUUAGGUCCACCUGAGCUCCACAAAACAUUUGUGCCAAAGAUAGUGGUGCAGGAAGUUGGACAGGAAAAAACGACUUCUCCACCAAUGCCUUACACCUAUGCACAAGCUGUUAUUGGAAUGAGGACAAAGUCUCCACCAGAGACUGGCUAUAUGGAUACAACUACACACAGGCUACAGCACAGACAGGAACAAGGACUCAUACUGCAGCAGAAACAAAUUAAUCGACAGAUUGAGAAACAGCAGCAAAGACAAGAUGCAAAGCAUCAACAGCAGGUGUAUCAUGUGGAACCGCUGCCUUCAGAACCACAAGAAUGGCAACAGAAAGAGGACAAAGAAAAGGUGGAGCAGCAGCAGGUAGAAGUCCAUCAGUCUCAAGUCCAGCCACAUCUGUCGCAAACCGAUUCUGACAUGAAACAGAACCAGGAUUUCCAGGAGCAGGCUCUUCCUCAACGACUUGUGAAGAAACCACCCAUGAGCUCAGAGGAACUUCAAAGUAAAAAGGCUCGGGCCACAAAGAAUCGGCCCUGGCUUCAAAAACCCUCUUCAGGAGAACAUAACGCUCCAUCCUCAUGUCCAGAACAAGAUUCCACUCAAGACCUAGUCUGGACUACACAGACAUCUGUUGAGAUUGUUCAGCAAGGGAAAGAACAACAGAGACAAACACAGGAACCUCAUUUAGAUCAGCAGCACCAAGAACAAAUUCAACAUCGGCAACUGGAACGACAGCAGAAACAACAGACACAACAGACCAUUAAAAAACCUCUACAACCAGAUUCAGAGACUCACACUGUAACAGCUAAGCAUCACCAGGAAAGCAAGUCAGAACCUCAUACAACGGUUCAGUCUACAUCCCAGAAAGUGCUUCACACACAAGUGCAGUCCACACAAGUGUUGCACACAGAUGACCAACAAUCACUGACGAUCACGUCUCAGACCAGAGUGAGCCAGGGUCAGUUACAAAAACAAGCCCUUCCACAAACUUAUAGUCCAGUGAAAUCCCAAUCCUCGAAUCAGCCGCUGACACAAGUACUGCUUCAACCCCAGGGUCCAUCUCAGCCCCCAACAUGUGUCCCAUCUGAGCCUCAGCCAGGUAUGCAAUCACAGCUUCACCUCCUGGGUGUAGCUCAUGGGCCAGCUCAUGCUCAAGUCAGACUUUCUUCACCGAUGCAGGGUCCAUUGCAUGGCCAAAUUCAACCAUCUACGCCAUCUCACAUACAAUUCCAUAGUCCUCAAAAGGCAUGGGCCCCUGUCAGACCACCGUCCCCUAAGCCACCUACACAGACUCCACCUCCAAGCUACGCCCCGUCAGUGCCGCAGCCUCCCGGCCACGCUCCCUCAAUGCCCCAGCCUCCCGGCCACGCUCCUUCAGUGGCUCCGCCCCCCAGCCACGCCCCGUCAGUGCCGCAGCCUCCCGGCCACGCUCCGUCGAUGCCCCAGCCUCCCGGCCACGCUCCGUCAAUGCCCCAGACUCCCGGCCACGCUCCUUCAGUGGCUCCGCCCCCCAGCCACGCUCCCUCAAUGCCCCAGCCUCCCGGCCACGCUCCAUCAAUGCCCGAGCCUCCCGGCCACGCGCCGUCAAUGCCCCAGCCUCCCGGCCACGCGCCGUCAAUGCCCCAGCCUCCCGGCCACGCGCCGUCAAUGCUCCAGCCAAUGAUUCCUCAGCCUCAAACCCAACAUCAAAGACAUAUUCAGCCAAAGACCCAACAAAGUACUACUGACCAAAUUCAUACCCAGGAUUUAACUCUGGUGCAGCCCCACCCUCAGCCUAAGGCACAGACUGAAAUUCGUGUUCAGGCAACUCAGGCCCAAACUUUAACUCAACAUAUAACUCAUCCUCAACCUGCAGUCCUGCCCCCAGGCUGUCCUCAGACUCCCACACCCACCUUUGCACAGCCACCAUCAGAUCAGUCUCCAGGAUAUAUGUCCCAAAGCCAGCUACAGUCUUGGACUCAGGUCAGAGCCUCAUCACCAAUGUCUGCACACCUUCCAAAGGGUGUGGCACAACCUCAGCUUUUCCCCCAAGCUUACUCCCAGGCCUGUUCACCAUCCCAGCAGUGGACACCCAAACCAGACCCACCAAAUCAAGCCAUUGUCCAAGCAUAUCCUCAGCAAAUGAGCCAAGCUCCUCAGUCUUUUCUAUCUGGUCCGGCUCCACCUCAGUGGCCUCAAGCUGGGCCUCAGCAGGGACCUCAGAUAGGGUCUCCAGGAUAUCCUGUCGCGGGACCACCAUAUGUUCUGCCCCAGAUGCAGCCACAAACCCAAUCCUGGCCUCAGACACAACUCCAAAUAAGCCCCCCCAGUGUCAUGCAAACUCAAAUGAGAGCAUACAAUGUGGUUCACAUCCAGACUCAACAAGAUCAGGUUCAACAACAGACUUGGAAUCAGGCACCACCGCAACUUCAGCCCCACCCUUCUCCCCAGACUCGCCCUCAGCAGUAUCCACAGGUUCAACCUCAAAUCUUCCAUCCCUCUCAACCUCAAAUGCCUCUUCAACCACAUCCACAACAUGUACAGCCCGAGUACCAGUUAAAAGCAGAAUCUCAAACUCACUUCCAGAUACAAUCCUCCAUUCAAGCACAGUUCCACACCCAGCCUCAACUCAAUCUACAGUUCCAGCAACCUGUUCUACCAGCCAAACAUGAAGCCUCGGAGAUUCACUCACAAAGUCAAACAAAAGAAGAAUUGCCUCCACAACAACAAUCACCAGUUGUUCAGUCAUCUACUGAAAUUAAAAUUCAGCCUCCAACCCAACCUAAGGCUAAAUUACCACCUCAAUCCAAACGUGAACACAUGCCAGCACAAGCCACAGUCCAGUCACUGAGCAAGUCCAAUGUUGAAUCCAUCCAACAAAUGCAAAUCCAAACCGCAACACAGCACAAGACUCAAUCACCAGCAAAACCCAAAAUUCAGUCAACAACCCAACACAAGUUUCAGACAUUAUCUCAGUCACCACCAGAGCUGCAUCAGGCUCAGUCACAACUACUGCCCAAGGCUCAAACAACACAACAGUCCAAUGCUCAGUCACCCCUACAAGACAGACCACAGACCCAACUCCCUCUACAGUCAAAACCCCAAAGACAAUCUCCACCUGAACCCAAGCCUACACCUACACAAACCCUUCUUCCUCAGGUCAGUGUUCUUCCUCAGUCCCAGGCUGAGUCACCAGACUUUUGCGGCAUACCUCCGCCCCUGGCUCAGGUACCUCCUCAGGCCUACACAGAGGCUUAUGCCAAGGCCCAGGCUUUGGCACGGAAUGGCUUUGAGGAGGCCAAGCACUGUCUGCAGCAGCACAUCCUGGAAGCGAUCAGCGUCUUCAAGGAUAAACGUAUUUCACCAGACCAAGUUUCAGUGAAAGAGGUACGGAUAGCUUUGAUUUCUGUCAGUUUCUGUUUUUUUCACGUUUCUGUUUAG
RNAcentral lists this long non-coding RNA (3543 nucleotides) under Betta splendens (Siamese fighting fish). RNAcentral describes it as "lncRNA (ENSBSLG00000008451.1)". Lineage: Eukaryota; Metazoa; Chordata; Actinopteri; Anabantiformes; Osphronemidae. The record is from RNAcentral.